GCCAGGCAUGGUGGCGUGUGCCUGUAGUCCCAGCUACAGGGAGGCUGAGGUAGGAGGAUUACUUGAGCCCAGGAGGUUGAGGCUGCAGUGAGCCAAGAUCAUGCCACUGCACUCCAGUCUAGGUGACAAAGUGAGAUCCUGUCUCAA
RNAcentral lists this non-coding RNA (147 nucleotides) under Chlorocebus sabaeus (green monkey). The record is from Rfam by way of RNAcentral. Lineage: Eukaryota; Metazoa; Chordata; Mammalia; Primates; Cercopithecidae.